Molecule: small RNA, 104 nt
Filed under: bovine gut metagenome
Description: DUF3800-I RNA
Rfam family: DUF3800-I RNA
About the family: Actinobacteria, Firmicutes, Fusobacteria, Proteobacteria (1 example), Tenericutes (2 examples). Terminator (Clostridia)
Source: RNAcentral
GCAGCUAGGGAACUAGGCUGUAUACCCGCGAGACCGAAUUAACGUUUAAGCGACAUGGAUGUCGUCGGCCGCGGGGGAAGGCCACGGAAGUGGCUUUUUGUUUU